UACGAAGGGGGCUAGCGUUGUUCGGAAUUACUGGGCGUAAAGCGCGCGCAGGCGGUCUUCUAAGUCAGUGGUGAAAGCCUGGAGCUCAACUCCAGAACUGCCAUUGAAACUGUUAGACUUGAGUACGAGAGAGGUGAGUGGAAUUCCCAGUGUAGAGGUGAAAUUCGUAGAUAUUGGGAAGAACACCGGUGGCGAAGGCAAUCCCCUGGGCCUGCACUGACGCUCAUGCACGAAAGCGUGGGGAUCAAACAGG
RNAcentral lists this ribosomal RNA (253 nucleotides) under uncultured bacterium. RNAcentral describes it as "partial 16S ribosomal RNA". It matches the Rfam family "Bacterial small subunit ribosomal RNA", at positions 524 to 776 of the family's 1533-position model. The record is from RNAcentral.